AUUGAACGCUGGCGGCAUGCCUUACACAUGCAAGUCGAACGGCAGCACGGGAGCAAUCCUGGUGGCGAGUGGCGAACGGGUGAGUAAUAUAUCGGAACGUGCCCGGUCGUGGGGAUAACGUAGCGAAAGCUACGCUAAUACCGCAUACGAUCUACGGAUGAAAGCGGGGGAUCGCAAGACCUCGCGCGAUUGGAGCGGCCGAUAUCAGAUUAGGUAGUUGGUGAGGUAAAGGCUCACCAAGCCGACGAUCUGUAGCUGGUCUGAGAGGACGACCAGCCACACUGGGACUGAGACACGGCCCAGACUCCUACGGGAGGCAGCAGUGGGGAAUUUUGGGACAAUGGGCGCAAGCCUGAUCCAGCAAUGCCGCGUGCAGGAUGAAGGCCUGGUU
RNAcentral lists this ribosomal RNA (391 nucleotides) under uncultured bacterium. RNAcentral describes it as "bacterial SSU rRNA". It matches the Rfam family "Bacterial small subunit ribosomal RNA", at positions 30 to 424 of the family's 1533-position model. The record is from RNAcentral.